GGAUCUGGGGGGGUGGAGGGGUCGUGCGCAGGUGCAGCUGGACGCCCGUGGGAGCGCGCGCCCAGGAGGACGUUGGGCCCCGAGGGGUGGCAGCAGGCGGUCCCCUAAGGGACCCUCCCUUAGACAUCCCACCGUCCUAGAGGCCCCGUGUUGGCAGAGCAGGGGCGCACGCCGACCACCCGGCUCCCACCCUCGCCUUGGCGUUGCCGCACGGGGAAAAGACAAUGCCGGGAGAGAUCCAAUCCACGAGUCCCAAGUGGAAGACCGAAGGGCGGGGCGAGGUCGACGCUCCUCGGCUCCCUGAUGGGGUGGGGGUGGCGAAGAGAACUCAGCCCGUUAACAUGCAAGUCUGAUCCCCCUCUUCUCUGAGGAUGGAUUGUAGCCUGCUUGGCAGUGUGUAAACCACGUUCAGAUAGCACGCGGACCCUUACAAAAUACAAGGGUGCAGUUCUGCCACCUGUAGAGAGAGCAUCUUGGGGCAGAGAACGAAGAAGCGCCACGACCCCCCACCCAGCUCCUUUUUCAAAAUCUGGUAUCCAGGUCCGGGUAAACGGAUAGAGGAAAUGUUGGAGGAUGAGAGCAGUGGCCUGUGUGGACCCAGCCUGGUCCUCAUGCAUCUGAGUCCAGCCACCAGCAGCUUUUCAGUUCCCCUAUUGGGCGAGCUAAGAGUGGAGAGAAAUAGUCGUUUUCUUAUUUUGUUCUCAUGGUGAGGAAGUGAAAAGCAGAAGGGAACUCUAAAUGAAGGCGCCUCUCUCGAGUGGUUGGACACGUCUACUUUGGAAAGGACCCUGCACGUGUGGCCCAUUCAGCGUUGUUCUUAGGGAUUUAAAGAAAGAAGCCUGCCGUGUUAUUAAUCACCCACUCAACUCCGUAUACUCUAAGUUGCUCUGUACAGCAGUGCAAGGGUGAAUAAAAGGGACACCAUCAGUUUAAACCAGUCGGUGCUCCUCCGUCUUUACCAACUGCCCCCCUGCUCUGGGCUGUCAUCACAGAAACCCCACUGGCUCCUGCCUGCACCUCGAGGUUCCACUUAAUGGAGCAGGAAACGCUGUAGGGAGUGCCCCUUGUCACCGCUCAGUGCCUAGCCAUUUGCCCCCUUGUCCAGUCUGCUCUAGCCAGUACAAAGCCUUCUGACUGUUCCUUGUGACUGGAACAUUCUUUGCCAGGUCUUUGAAAUAAGUUACUUCACAUUGGUUUGUCUUAGGUUAACUAUUACCCCCCUCAAGUCCUUUCCUUGCUUCCUCAGGCCCCUGGGCUUAAAUUCAGCCCAGUUGCUGUUUUUGUUUGUUUGUUUAUUUUGUUUUUAACCUGUCAGUUUCAAACCUCCCAUAGUAGACUAUGACAUGCUUAUGAAGUCCUCUGACUCUCUCUCUACACAGCAUACCAGAUUGGUUAUUGAGCAUCUAAUAUGACAGUUGAUCUGGUGUGUUGUGUUCACGUGAAUGAACAGGUGUCUACAUGCUUUGCCUUUCAGUGAUUUCCAACUUAGAAAAGAUUUGUCUUGGUGUUAUUUUUGACCUUCACUAGGCGGCUUCAGCAGAUGAGAGCCUCUCCAUGUUGAUCAUUCAGAAUGAGGCUGUGUUCAUUCAGAAUGAUGUCUGGGGCAUGACGGGCUCUUAGCAGCUUCCUAUUCAGUGAACAAAAGACACAACUUCAGCCAGACAAUGGUGUCACACACAGAACUGGUGAGGCAGAGGCAGAAAGGUCAUGAGUUCAAGGCCAGUCUAGGCAACUUAAUGAGACCUUGUUUUAAAAAUCCCAGGGAAGGGCCCUAUGAGGUGACUCAGCAGGAAGGCGCUUCCGCCAAACGUGACCACCAGAGUCCAGUCCUCUGGUGAGAGAACCGACCCCUACGCACACAAUACACAUGCACAAGGGUACCACUGCAUCCUGUUAACUAAACUCUCCUCUCUACUCCGGUGUCCUUAUGAUGACUGGUAUUCUGUAUUACAAUGUAGGCCCCCUGGUAGGGAUCCCGUGCUGUGCUUUGGAAACACCAUGCCACUUCUUACUACCUUGCAGCAUCAAAACUGUUAAGAGCUCUAUUCAGAACAUUUCUCAGUGUCUGCCAGACGUCAGUCAGACACUGGGACUUGAGGGGUGCACCAGAACAUGGGCCAUGGUCCUUAUCCUUAGAAAUGCACAUCCAAGUAAAAAGGACAGAAAAUUAGCAAUUAAGAAAAGACGGUUUCAGAGUGAGAUGGGAGAGGGUUAAGGAAGUGAAGUAAUAGGUGACUGGAUCGUUCUCUCCACUAGAAGGAGACAUUUAAACUGAGUCUUGAAUGACAGAGGCAGUCAAGGGAACCCAGGAAGAGGCUUCCAGGCAGCAGGCUGGAGCUAGUGUUGAGCCGAAACAAGGCCAGCUGGGCCACAGGGAUGUGAUCCGAUUUAUAUUUUCAGUCUUCCCUGCUGCUGAGCUCUUAGAGCUGACUUUCUGGUGUCAGUGACCUGUUCCAAUGGCUUCUGUUCUUCAUGUCCCUAGGCAGUGUUAAUAUCCUUAAAUAUGUAAAACCAAGUGAAUGUUAAAAAAAAAAGUCCUUUUUACCUCCAGUGAUUGCCUGUGAUGAAAA
This is a non-coding RNA of Peromyscus maniculatus bairdii (prairie deer mouse), 2570 nucleotides long. NCBI's taxonomy places the organism in Eukaryota, Metazoa, Chordata, Mammalia, Rodentia, Cricetidae. The record is from RefSeq and is a predicted model, not a curated record.